Molecule: ribosomal RNA, 230 nt
Filed under: uncultured bacterium
Lineage: Bacteria
Description: partial 16S ribosomal RNA
Rfam family: Bacterial small subunit ribosomal RNA
Source: RNAcentral
UAAAGCGUGCGCAGCGGUAAUGUAAGACAGAUGUGAAAUCCCCGGGCUCAACCUGGGAACUGCAUUUGUGACUGCAUUGCUGGAGUGCGGCAGAGGGGGAUGGAAUUCCGCGUGUAGCAGUGAAAUGCGUAGAUAUGCGGAGGAACACCGAUGGCGAAGGCAAUCCCCUGGGCCUGCACUGACGCUCAUGCACGAAAGCGUGGGGAGCAAACAGGAUUAGAUACCCGAGU